RNAcentral lists this transfer RNA (71 nucleotides) under Loxodonta africana (African savanna elephant). It matches the Rfam family "tRNA". Rfam says of the family: Transfer RNA (tRNA) molecules are approximately 80 nucleotides in length. Their secondary structure includes four short double-helical elements and three loops (D, anti-codon, and T loops). The record is from Rfam by way of RNAcentral. Lineage: Eukaryota; Metazoa; Chordata; Mammalia; Proboscidea; Elephantidae.
GCCGUGGUGGUUCAGUGGUAGAAUUCUCGCCUUCCAGGUGGGAGACCCAGCUUUGAUUCCUGGCCAAUGCA